GAGCCACCAUUGGCCCAACAAGAAAAUUUCCACAAAAAUGGUUUCCACUUUUGUGGCCCGUACAAGUGGCAUGUCUCGUAGUAUUUCUGAGAUGUUGGGCUUGGGCUGUUUUCCGUUGGACCGUUUCCCACCCACAUCUCGAAAAGGUCCAUUAGAAUGUCCCACAUCGCUUGGGAUUAAGAUCUUUGGGCAUUAUAGAAAGGAUGUGGCAAUCCUUAACUCUUGAGCUAGCUUUUGGGUUAAGUUAUGCCACAUUCCUAAUAUGGUAUUAAAGCAUAAGUUAAGAAAUGUCAACAUGGUAUCGGAGCCAAACAGUUCAUCGACUUUUUUUUAUUCUCUCUAGCUUCUAGCCUCCGCUCAUACCGCAAUAUUGAAACGAUGAGCUUUGUGCCUUCUCUGAAAAAGCGAUGGUGAGCGUGAGGUUUCACAUCUUAGGAGUCAGAUUUUCAGAGACAAGGGAAUCAACUUGGAAAAUCUUCAAAGAGCUCGAGACAUAACCAAACUAUGGUAUUCAAGGUACCGUUUCUCUCUAUUCUAUAUGGGA
Molecule: long non-coding RNA, 544 nt
Organism: Arabidopsis thaliana (thale cress)
Lineage: Eukaryota; Viridiplantae; Streptophyta; Magnoliopsida; Brassicales; Brassicaceae
Product: other RNA
Exons: 1
Source: RefSeq